UACGUAGGAGGCGAGCGUUGUCCGGAAUUACUGGGCGUAAAGAGCGCGUAGGCGGCAUAGUACGACCUGUGUGAAAAGCCCCCCGGCUCAACUGGGGAGGGUCACAGGUAACGGCUGAGCUCUGAGUGCAGGAGAGGGAAGUGGAACUCCGGGAGUAGCGGUGAAAUGCGUAGAGACCUGGAGGAACACCAGUGGCGAAAGGCGGCUUCCCUGGUCUGCAACUGACGCUGUGGCGCGAAAAGCUAGGGGGGAGCAAAACGGGG
RNAcentral lists this ribosomal RNA (263 nucleotides) under uncultured bacterium. RNAcentral's name for it is "partial 16S ribosomal RNA". It matches the Rfam family "Bacterial small subunit ribosomal RNA", at positions 524 to 778 of the family's 1533-position model. The record is from RNAcentral.